GAUGAACGCUGGCGGCGUGCCUAAUACAUGCAAGUCGAGCGAACAGACGAGGAGCUUGCUCCUCUGACGUUGGCGGCGGACGGGUGAGUAACACGUGGAUAACCUACCUAUAAGACUGGGAUAACUUCGGGAAACCGGAGCUAAUACCGGAUAAUAUAUUGAACCGCAUGGUUCAAUAGUGAAAGACGGUUUUGCUGUCACUUAUAGAUGGAUCCGCGCCGCAUUAGCUAGUUGGUAAGGUAACGGCUUACCAAGGCAACGAUGCGUAGCCGACCUGAGAGGGUGAUCGACCACACUGGAACUGAGACACGGUCCAGACUCCUACGGGAGGCAGCAGUAGGGAAUCUUCCGCAAUGGGCGAAAGCCUGACGGAGCAACGCCGCGUGAGUGAUGAAGGUCUUCGGAUCGUAAAACUCUGUUAUUAGGGAAGAACAAAUGUGUAAGUAACUAUGCACGUCUUGACGGUACCUAAUCAGAAAGCCACGGCUAACUACGUG
This 497-nucleotide ribosomal RNA is filed under the name uncultured bacterium. Its description in RNAcentral is "partial 16S ribosomal RNA". It matches the Rfam family "Bacterial small subunit ribosomal RNA", at positions 28 to 507 of the family's 1533-position model. The record is from RNAcentral.